CACGUAGGGUGCGAGCGUUGUCCGGAAUUAUUGGGCGUAAAGAGCUCGUAGGCGGUCUGUCACGUCGGCUGUGAAAUCCCGAGGCUCAACCCCGGGUCUGCAGUCGAUACGGGCAAACUAGAGUAUUGCAGGGGAGACUGGAAUUCCUGGUGUAGCGGUGAAAUGCGCAGAUAUCAGGAGGAACACCUGCGGCGAAGGCGGGUAGCUGGGCCGACACUGACGCUGAGGCGCGAAAGCCAGGGGAGCGAACGGG
RNAcentral lists this ribosomal RNA (253 nucleotides) under uncultured bacterium. Its description in RNAcentral is "partial 16S ribosomal RNA". It matches the Rfam family "Bacterial small subunit ribosomal RNA", at positions 524 to 776 of the family's 1533-position model. The record is from RNAcentral.